UUGGCUCCGGGGAAGUAUGUGCAAAGCUGAACUAAAGGAAUUGACGGAAGGGCACCACCAGAGUGGAGCCUGCGCUUAUUGACUCACACGGGAAAACUUACCAGGUCCGACAUAAGUGUGUAGACAGAUUGAUAGCUCUUUCUCGAAUCUAUGGGUGGUGGUGCAUGCCGUUCUUAGUUCGUGGAGUGAUUUGUCUGGUUAAUUCCGAUAACGAACGAGACUCAAAUAUAUUAAAUAGAUAUCUUCAGGAUUAUGGUGCUGAAGCUUAUGUAGCCUUCAUUCAUGGUGGCAGUAAAAUGUUUAUUGUGUUUGAAUGUGUUUAUGUAAGUGGAGCCGUACCUGUUGGUUUGUCCCAUUAUAAGGACACUAGCUUCUUAAAUGGACAAAUUGCGUCUAGCAAUAAUGAGAUUGAGCAAUAACAGGUCUGUGAUGCCCUUAGAUGUCCUGGGCUGCACGCGCGCUACAAUGAAAGUAUCAACGUGUAUUUCCUAGACCGAGAGGUCCGGGUAAACCGCUGAACCACUUUCAUGCUUGGGAUUGUGAACUGAAACUGUUCACAUGAACUUGGAAUUCCCAGUAAGUGUGAGUCAUUAACUCGCAUUGAUUACGUCCCUGCCCUUUGUACACACCGCCCGUCGCUACUACCGAUUGAAUUAUUUAGUGAGGUCUCCGGACGUGAUCACUGUGACGCCUUGCGUGUUACGGUUGUUUCGCAAAAGUUGACCGAACUUGAUUAUUUAGAGGAAGUAAAAGUCGUAACAAGGUUUCCGUAGGUGAACCUGCGGAAGGAUCAUUA
This 796-nucleotide non-coding RNA is filed under the name Drosophila sechellia. RNAcentral describes it as "Eukaryotic small subunit ribosomal RNA". It matches the Rfam family "Eukaryotic small subunit ribosomal RNA", at positions 1108 to 1831 of the family's 1831-position model. Lineage: Eukaryota; Metazoa; Arthropoda; Insecta; Diptera; Drosophilidae. The record is from Rfam by way of RNAcentral.